UACGGGGGGGGCAAGCGUUGUUCGGAAUUAUUGGGCGUAAAGGGCUCGUAGGCAGUUCGUCACGUCGGGAGUGAAAACUCGGGGCUUAACCCCGAGCCUGCUUCCGAUACGGGCAGACUAGAGGUAGGCAGGGGAGAGCGGAACUCCUGGUGUAGCGGUGGAAUGCGCAGAUAUCAGGAAGAACACCGGUGGCGAAGGCGGCUCUCUGGGACGGUACUGACGCUGAGACGCGAAAGCGUGGGGAGCGAACAGG
RNAcentral lists this ribosomal RNA (253 nucleotides) under uncultured bacterium. RNAcentral's name for it is "partial 16S ribosomal RNA". It matches the Rfam family "Bacterial small subunit ribosomal RNA", at positions 524 to 776 of the family's 1533-position model. The record is from RNAcentral.